GUUCCAAGAGUUUUAGGAGUUCUGUGCCAGGAAAAAUGAACAUAAACCAAAUGGUUUUCUAUUAUAGUGUAUCUGUUCUUGCAUGUUCUUUAUUUUUUUCCAUCACAACCCUUAGCAUAUUAUCAUAGUUAUUUUAAAUUCCUGAUCUGAUAAUUCCAACAUCUCUGCCACAUCUGUUGUGGUUCUGAUGUUUGCUCUGUCUUUUUAAACUUUUAUUUUUAUAUUUCAGUAUGCCUUGUAAUUUUUUGUUGCAAGCUGGAUAUAAUGUGCUGAGCAAAGAAACCGUGGUACAUACCUUUAGGGUGAGGUGUUGAGGUGUGGAAAGAAGGGCCAGCCCUAUGGUCCUAUUAUUGUUAAGGAUGGCACAAUACCAGCCCUGAGGAAGAAGCUAAGCUAAACCACUCACUGCUCCAGAACUAUUUGGAGACAGAUUGACUGGAAAAUAGGUUUUAUUCAAAGCCAGCAUCGAAGGAAGAUGGAAGAAGCCUGUUGUUUCAAAAGUUGUAUCUUGGAAAUCUCUGAGGGUGAGCAGAGCUUUUAAAGGAUGUUCGAGAUACUGGGGUGCCACAAGGAAUCAAACACCUGCUUGGAAGUAGCUUGGCAAGGCAAACUUUACUUCUGCAGAAGGAGGCACUGCCCGCUGAAGUCUGCCAAGCAAGCACACUCGGGCCAGCAGUCCACCUGUUUUUGUCCCUAAGGGCGGCACGGCACGGCCCAUUGCUCUGAUAGGAGGAGCUCGGGCUUAUAUUCCAGGUGAUUGGCUAAUUUUAAAAUUUUACAUUUAAGGCUAAAUACUAUAUUCUGAAAAUGGACCAACAGACUUUAUUUCUCACAAGGAGAAGAGGCAGAGAAAUGAGACAAAAGGCAGGAAACUUGUGGAUUUAGUUAGCAGGUGUUAAAUAGGCUUGGGGAGGUGACAAUCUCUAAGUGUACAUGGCCCUGGGGUGGGGUUGAGGCAAGUCCUUCAGAUUACACCUCAACAGGGGGAAGCUGCUAACAAUUUCAGACCCCACCCCUACCCCAUCAGUCUGUUUCAUUACCCAGUCUUAGCUGUGCCCCUGGGCUGUGAAAUUCACAACUGCUUCUCUGUCCACUAUCCCACCUAAGUGGUACAGAAUGGCUAUAGGGGUCUGGAGUUGAAU
Molecule: long non-coding RNA, 1142 nt
Filed under: Marmota monax (woodchuck)
Lineage: Eukaryota; Metazoa; Chordata; Mammalia; Rodentia; Sciuridae
Source: RNAcentral